RNAcentral lists this ribosomal RNA (267 nucleotides) under Mycobacterium tuberculosis. RNAcentral describes it as "partial 23S ribosomal RNA". It matches the Rfam family "Bacterial large subunit ribosomal RNA", at positions 75 to 413 of the family's 2925-position model. The record is from RNAcentral. Lineage: Bacteria; Bacillati; Actinomycetota; Actinomycetes; Mycobacteriales; Mycobacteriaceae.
GCCAUGGGGAGCUGCGAACAAGCUUUGAUCCGUGGAUUUCUGAAUGGGGCAACCCGGCCCGCAAGGGUCACCCGGCAACGGGAGCUAACCCAGGGAACUGAAACAUCUCAGUACCUGGAGGAAAGGACAUCAACAGAGACUCCGGUAGUAGUGGCGAGCGAACCCGGACCAGGCCAGUGGCCCAGUUUGACGAAGCCGAACAGGUUGGAAAACCUGGCAUUAUGGGUGAUAGCCCCGUAGGCGUUUAGAACGACUGGGUCCUCGAGU